CAAGUUUUAGAAAAAUUUACCAACCAAUUUUUCCAUAUCGAUAGAGUUUUAUACUUCACGAAUUCCAAUAAUGCCGCGCUAUAUUCUUUUGCUUUAAUUUUAGCAAUAUUAUUUUAAGAUUGCAAGAAAAUCACAAGGGGUGUCGCGUCUCCCAUGAAGAGAACUCGAGGUAGCUGCUAAAAAACUCUACGAAGCGUCGUGGCCAAGUUUAGUCAAGAAAGUUCUAUACUUGACCUUAAUGGCGUCAGUCCAAUGCCAUAAACUUCGCGAAAUAUUCCCAAAUAAAUCGAACGCAUUUUAGAAAAUUGAUUUUACGGCGAAAAUACAUCUACAAAGCAAUACAAAACUUCACGUUACGUUUGUGUCGCAUUGAAUUUCGGAUUUGCUGCAACAUUAGAACUGCAUUUUACAUCGUAAAGACCGUCAACGUUGAAAGGAAAAAAAAAUUCGAAGAAAGGAUAUUGUCAAAGAAUUUCAAUGGAGACAAAAAACUACACCUUUCAAUGAAGAAAUUU
Apis florea (little honeybee) is the source of this 515-nucleotide long non-coding RNA. NCBI's taxonomy places the organism in Eukaryota, Metazoa, Arthropoda, Insecta, Hymenoptera, Apidae. The record is from RefSeq and is a predicted model, not a curated record.